RNAcentral lists this ribosomal RNA (253 nucleotides) under uncultured bacterium. RNAcentral's name for it is "partial 16S ribosomal RNA". It matches the Rfam family "Bacterial small subunit ribosomal RNA", at positions 524 to 776 of the family's 1533-position model. The record is from RNAcentral.
UACAGAGGUCUCAAGCGUUGUUCGGAUUCAUUGGGCGUAAAGCGCGCGUAGGCGGAUCAGGAAGUUGGGGGUGAAAUCCCGGGGCUCAACCCCGGAAUGGCCUUCAAAACUCCUGGUCUUGAGUUCGAGAGAGGUGAGUGGAAUUCCGAGUGUAGAGGUGAAAUUCGUAGAUAUUCGGAGGAACACCAGUGGCGAAGGCGGCUCACUGGCUCGACACUGACGCUGAGGUGCGAAAGCGUGGGGAGCAAACAGG